This 12426-nucleotide unclassified non-coding RNA is filed under the name Leishmania donovani. RNAcentral's name for it is "gene:LdHU3.12.0620(CDS-product:hypothetical_prote in_conserved)". The record is from RNAcentral. Lineage: Eukaryota; Euglenozoa; Kinetoplastea; Trypanosomatida; Trypanosomatidae.
AUGUUAAUAGUAAGCUGCCAAAGUACCCCGACGUAAAAGGACGUACCUAUACCGACGGAGGGCUCGCUUUCUGUCCGUCUAUUUGCCACCUUUCCACCGCCAUCUCGCUUCCCUCUCUUCCAUAGAGCCCCUCCCUUCUUUCUCUCUCUCUCCUCUUCGGUCGGUCUGGACAUUCUUUUUUGUUUUGUUUUGUGUGUGGCUGUGCGUGUGAUCGUGCGUGUGUGUCUCAGGUAGCCCACGGCCAUCGCGAAGCAGCAGACACCACAGCGCAUCUUUUUGCAUCGCAACGAAAACGCGCGCACACACACACAUAUACAUACAUACAUACAUACAUAUAUGUAUAUGUGUGUGUAUGUAUAUGUGUAUACCUACUCAGCAAAACACCAAAACAAAACUGAACACACGCAAAGUUGUAAGCGGCUGUAGCACGACGCAGGCCAAAAACAAAACGAAGAAACGUGAGGAAAAAAAAAGGAGCCGAGAGAGACACACACACACACAGUAACGGAUCGACCACCCAAGAGCGAAUCGGACCUUCGCCAAAACAGCAAUAACUACACAAAGAAGGACGCGCUGCACCUCGUCUCUCGCUCCAUACGCCUCCUCUGCUCUCUUUCUUUCUCUUUUUCAUUCUUGUUUGUUCCUCCCCCUGCCCCCCUUUUUACUCUUUUUUUUUGUGUUUGUCUCUUUCUGUGUUGUGUUGUGUUUUCUCCCCUCUUAUCUCCUCCCGGUGAGCUGUGUAUAUAGACAGCUUCCUCUACGUAUAACCCCCCUCUUCCACAACGGCAUCAACACACACAUACACAUAUAUAUAUAAAGAGUAUACACAUCACGAAAAAAAAGCGAAGAGGCGGCUUUUUUUUUUCGCAUUGGCCACCCCCUUGCCUCCCCCCAUCCAUCCUCCUCCACGCUUAGUUCACCUCUCCUUUGAUCCUCCCCCUUAUCAACUCGCAGAUACGCACACACUCGGCCACUAUUAUAGCCACGCCUCACGGUCAGCCACGGCAAGAGCGUCAAGAGGGAGAAUAAACACCCUUGAAAACGUGUCUGCGUUCCUUCGUGUCAGCCGCACGGCACACGCGAAGCCACCAAGAGAGAGAGAGAAACGGAGAAGGCGCCGAAGACCGACGGAAAAAGGGGGGAUAUAGAAAGAGGAACAGAAAACGGAAAUCGGUGCAAGAGAAGAAGCCACCGCCACUACUCAAGCUCAUUCUUGUGUGCUGUUGUCCGUUGUGCGCCCAGAUCUGCCUACGAGCACAAAGUCUCAUAGGCACACAGAAGGCAAGAGGGACACGGUAAAAGAAGACAAACAUCCAGGUGCCGUCCCUCCCGCGUGUUUGGAAAUCUAUCUGCAUCUGCCGAGCUUUCUUGUGCCUGCAUCUCGUUCUUCUGUGAAGUGAUUAGACGCCCCUUCUGCUCCUCCCUCCUUGUUCCCUUUUUUUUUCGCUCGCGCGCGUGCUUGUGCGUGUGUGUGUGUGGGCGCAUCACACAGUGGUAAUCUAUAGAGAACGGGCGAAACGUAGCGCAGCGGCCCCACAACACUGGAAGUGCGCUUUUUUUGUUUGCCUUAUUUCUGCUGCUUCUCUCUCUGCAUAUCUGUCUCUCACUAUAAGGAAAGAGGGAAGAAGAGGGUCUUCGCCGGCGCGCGUGUGUGGGUGGGACGCUGCUCCCUCUUUGGACCCCCUUUUUUCUCAAACAUUAUAUAUCCUGUUCGUUUGUUGAUUCAUUUUCUUGUUAGUCUUUCACUCAUUUCGCUUGUGUAUUUUUGUUGCUGCAUCGCUUGUGCGCGUUCUUUUUUUUGUUUGGUUAUUGGUUUUCGUCUCUCUUUCGACUUGCUGAAAGCUUACACCCGCCACACCCUUUUUUCUCUUUUCGUUUUUUUUUAUUUUGUACCCUUCUUCUUCCCCUUCCCUUUUUUCUGUUUUUUUUUUUUUUUAAUCUUCCUAUCUUGGUGCGUGUGUUCUCGCUUCCUGUGCUGUCCUGUGUCGCUUUCUUCGUUUCCUCGCUCCUUCUGUGUCUUUUCUCCUCGGUCUGCUCUGUCUGAUUAGAUCAUUUACCUCCACACACAACUUCGAAACAUUUUCCCCGUUUUUUUUGGUUGUUUUCCUUGCGUAUACGUUCGCCACACCACAGCCGCCAUCAUCAUCGCGAGAUACGACGAGAAGGACUGAAAGAUAGAGAGAGGUAAAGAGAGAGACCGAGCCAACGAGCCCAAACACAGGAAAAGAAGAGGCGCCUAUCGAGCAAGUGGUUGUUUCAAACGCGAAAACGAAAAAAAAAAAACAAGCGAACAGAGCUAGCUCAUUCAUUUCCGUGCUCUGCUUUACUCUCUCCCUCUUCCUUUCAUUCUUUUCGUUUUGUUUGUUUCUCUGCCGCUUGCCACCCCACCCCUUUUUUUUCUCUCCUGUAUUGAGAAGGGCAUUCCUUGGGCGUGUGUUUGGCCUGCGCGAGGCUCGGUAAUCGUGAACGAACACGAGCCGACCACAUCGACUGUUUGUGCCGCGCUCUCCCCCCUCCUCCCAAUCACUCCUCUUUCUCCUGCCUUGCGCUGCGCCCUUUUACUCUGCUCUCUUUGUCGUUUUUUCCGGGCCUGUGCUUUCGGCUCUUCACGUCUGUCUCCGCCCCCUCUUUUUCUUUUUUGGAGGGCACAUUGCGUGUGCCGAUCGACGACGACGGCAACGUGUGUGCGUGGGUGUGACUGCACGCCUGUGCAAGUACGGGCGUGUGAUACAGCAGCGCUGUCCAUCUCACCCCCUCUCUCUCGUGUUAUUUUCGGCUUUCCCCCUUUUCCCCUACAGUAGAAACUCGUUAUUUUUUUGGUCGCCCCCUCUUUUUUUCUUUUCCUCGUGCUCGUGCUUUUAUACCCCCACCCUCCGCUAUUUCUCGUACGCCCCCUUCCCCUCCUUGCCCCUCUUCCCUUUCUUUUGCUUCGACAUCGAUCUUUUCAUCUUGCGUAUACCUCAUUGCCAGCCCCAACCCCCAACUUCUCUCUUAUACUCUCCACGUCUCGCUGCGGCCGGCACCGCUACUGUCACACUGUCGUGCGAGCCGACUCCUGUGUCCUCGCUCCUUUUUUUGCCCUCUUCGCCUUCCCUUUUUGACUUUGCCGUAACUCUUCAGUGCUUGCUUUCUUCCAUUUCUAUCUCUUCGUUGUUGUUCCCCCUUCCCUAGCUGACAGCGUACUGUAUAGACGUAUAAAACCAGAGCGCCAGAAGAACGCAUCCAUACACCCGAUAGACUUAUUGCCUCCGCCGGCACUUGCUUGUUGUGGCUGCUUGUAUGCUCCACGCGGGGGGUGUAUACCAAGGUCGCACAUAUAUCCCCUCCCCCUCUGUCCUCCCCCCCCAUCACACGCAGACAGACACAGAGACACAUACACACAGGUAUAUAUAUAUGUAUACCGGCCUCAGUGGCGCAAGCCUCACAUACACUCCGCAACAACUACUCACCCUGCUCCCAACGCGACCUCUCACUACUCACCGUUCUCACACGUGAGUGGCGGCGCAGUGCUACGCUUCGUUGCUUCUGUUUUUGUUUGUGUUUCGUGUGUGUGUGUGUUCUCUGCUGCAUCCUUGUUUGCACAUUUCUGAACAUCUCUGACGACAAGGACCAGGGUGCUGGCAGACAGCAAAACAAGUCGUAAGGAGCACCAGAGUGGCAUACAUCGCCGUCGCUCUCCUCUCCAUCUCUCACGCUCAGCCCAGGGGCGAGGGGACAAGGAGUGGGUCUUGAAGGUGCGCAGCGGAGGCACGAUUAAGGAUUUGUUCUCUCUUACACACACAAAGAAAACGACGAAAGAGGCAAACCACAAAAAAGGCGACGAAACGAAGGAAAGCCUUUCUCUUGCUCUCUGCUUGAGCGUUUGCGUGCGUUUCUAUCUCUCUCUCUUGUAUGUGUGUGUGUGCGUAGGUUUGCCGUUUUUCUGUUCUGCCCCCCCUCCCACAUACUUCUUGGUGUCUGUACGCGUUUUCUUUUUCUUUUUGCCUUCUUCGUGUGUCUUCCUAUCUUGCAACGUCUUCUCGUGUCGAGUUUGUGCUUGCGUCCUCCUUUUUGAUCAUACCAGCAGCGCUAUUCGGUUGCGCUGCGCUCCCUUCUUUCGUAUUAUUGUGUCUUCGGUAUCCCUGCUAGCCGACGCUGUUAUUCGCAACUACAAGCUGCCAUUGCUGCUAGCAUUGCCGCGCGCUCGUUCUCUUUUCGGUUGUUAUCCUGCCAUGCCGAGCUCUAAUCGCGUACGCCACCGCGACUCCGACGUGGCCGCGGCCACCUCGGCGAUGGAGGAGCCCUCGUCGCCCAAUGUUGAUAGCAAAACUGUUGGCAACGCGAGAACCCCCUUCGCAUCGCUUAGUGCUUCCUCAGCGUUCUCUACGGCGUACAGUACGGUCUCUGGUGAUGUGGCGCACCCCUGUGUGGACAUUGCCAGCGGCGCCGCCCCCUCGGACGAGGUCUCGCCCUUCACCAACGCUCUUCUCAUGUCGGGCGACUCCACCCCGUUCGCAGGCUCAUUUACAACGAAGACGGCGGCUAGCUUUCUGCACGUGACGAGCUUUAACAGCAGCGCCACCGUCGUUACUGGUGAGUUGCCGAGUCUGCAGAGCGAGCACGUCGCCACUACGGCGGCCUCUUGCUUUGCCACUAGGCCGAGAGGUACAGAGGCGCCGGCAGCGGCAGCGGCGGCCAGCGCCACGAAUCCACCGUCACUACUGCGCCCACUGGGGAGUGCUCCGAUUGAGGGCAGUGGCGGUCAGACGCAACGUUCCGGCGAGGCGGACGCCCCGGUGCAGGAUGGAACGGCUGCGCCUCCCUCUUCUCCGCCGAUAGCAAGGGGCAGCGUCAGUGCGUCUUUCAGCGGAGACAGCAGCAGCCGACGCUCCCAUACUCUGCGGAGCGGCCUAUCAGAUGAUCUCCAGCUCACACAGACGGCGUGCUACCUGUCCCCGCUCGGCUCUGCCGGAAGCCGCGAGGUGCAGCGGAGUGGCGAUGAUAUCGACGCUCGGUGGGCGGCUGAGAAGGAGAGCAUGCUGUCAGCAGAGCCUGCGCGGCCAACCGCGGGCAAUGACGGCUUUGCUGCCGAGGGAAGCGAAGGCGCGAUGGAUGCUGCGACGCAGUGCGCGUCGACGGAUGUGCGUGCUGCUGCGUACACGGUGCCAGCCAGCAACAUCAGUACCACUGUUGCGGCAACUGCGACCGACGCUGCCCCACCUCUCUGUCCUGAAUUCGAGGUACUGGCGACGGUUCCAGCGCCUCUAGUUGGGCGAGUGCCCAUGCGCAUCCACUGGUGCUGCGCGGCUCACUGGCGCGCGGUGCAGCGCACAGAGAGGGGGGCUCAGUGGGCCGUCGACGGCGCCCCUGCAGAUGUGUAUUGCGUGCCAGCCCACCUGAACGCGAAGAGGGGGAGACGGAGCUUGUCGGCCUCUUGCGUGGAGGCCAAGCCGGAGUUGGAGCGGGACGGCAGGGGCUUCUCGGGCGCGGGCGAGAACACCGCGUGGCUCCGUGAUGCGGCGGAUGAGGGAAAGCCGCAGCACUGGGAGGUGCGGACCCUUUCGUCAGCUGUUGACGCGCCCGGCCCAACGUUGUGCGACGACAGCAACCAUGCCGCUGAGCACGAGGAACACGGUUCGCUGAAGACUCGCUCGGGCUUGCCGCAGGUGCACAGCCACAGCUGCACUGAUAUGCUGACGUGCGAGUUCUGCGGCCACGCGGUCGAGACGUACCACUCUGAGGACUGUGACGGCGAGGCGUCGGAGGCUAGCACAUCGACGACUGAGACGGGGCGUGCGUGCAGCGCCCCUCCUGGGCGGUAUCAGGACUGUCACGGCUGUGCUUCGGCAGAAGCGCGGUCGCUGUCUUCUUCCAAACUUGUGGCGUGCAGGUCGAAUCAGCCGAGCAUCUUUACGCCGCAGCUGUUGCUGUCCUCCUCGGAGUCGGCAGAGACGACGGUGGACUUGGACAUGAGCGGCGCCAUCUCAUCCGUCGAUGUGCCGUCGCGGUCAGACAGUGCGCGUGAAGAGGCGCUGAUGGCAGCCGUCGCACUACUCCAGUAGAAGACUUUCCUGAAAGCCGUUGUGGGGUGCGUGAAGUGAGGAUGACACGGGACUCUUCGUGUGCUCUCAGUCUUCGCAUCGUGCCGGCCGCCGUGCCCUUAUGUGUGUAUUUAUUCUCGCUCUGUCACUCGAAGGCAUGUGCACGCGCCCCCCUCCCCCCUCACCUAAGAGCUUCGGCAUAACGACAGUCCACCACACAGGCAGCGAGGGCGUCAAGGGACUAGGCUUAACGGGAGCGGGAGGUGUGGAGGGCAGUGAGUAGACUUUGCGGGGCAGCCUGGCUGCGUCAUCCACCUCUGUGCUCUCCGUUGUCCGCUGUUCUCUUGUGCCGUUGAGCCAGCAUGCUUCCUUUUUUUGUUCCUCCCUAUGUCUCGCCGUGAAGGACAUCGUAUAUAUAUAUAGGUGUGUGUGUGUUGAUGUUGGCUAUAUGUGUGUCUCGCGCUUGCACCAGCUCCCCACUCCCCCCACCCACCGACCUACCCCAUCCUCUUCCUUGUUACUGCUGACUUGUAUCUCGUUUCUCUCUAUCUUGUGGUCGCUCCUCGCAUUUUUUUUUCGCUGCCUGAGAUUUCUCAGCGACGCGGUGAUGUGCGCUGCCCUGCCCUGUCCUGCCCUGCCCCUUUCCCGCCUUUUUUUUUUUGCUUGGUCGCUCUCGCGCUCGCUCUGGCUUAUACACAUCCGCCUGCCCUUUUUCACGUUUUCGUUCCGCAAUACACCAGCCGCCGCGCGCUUCGACAUAUCGACACAAAGCAGGAGAAACGGGCGGAGACGAGAGAGGGAGAGAGACGUUGGGCUUUUGUGUAUAUGUGUGUUGCACGUGCCGCAUCCAGAUGGUGGUGGCUGUCAGCAACGCUGUGCAGUGCCACUGUCUCUGCUUCACACCUCGUGUGCGCCCUCCGGCGGAUCUCUUCCUAUGUGGCUAUUCAGGCUUGAUGCAUACGCACGCCGAGGCGCCGCGCUGCGCUUCUCCGCGGUCUCUGCCUCUCCCUCCCUCUCUUUGCUUUAGGGGAGGGCGUGCGUGUGCUGCUGGCCGCAUCUUGCGUUGUGCAUGCCGGUGUUUCUAUGUCUGCUUUCGCUUUUAUUUUUCGGCUUCGCAUGGCGCAUGCCUGUAUGUGUGUGUGUGUGUUGGUGUCUCUCUUGUUUUGUGCGCUUCGCCCUACAUGGGCGGAUCCUCUCUCUUAUGAUAUACACUCCCUCCUUCCCUACCCUGCGAGGCACGUGGACACACACGCACACACGCACACACGCACACACUCUACAUGGAUACCGUUGUGGCCUCCUUUUCUUUCUCUCGUCACGUCUUCACUUUUUUUUUUUAGUAUUAUUCACUUUCAGCUUCGCUGUUGAUGUCGGAUCGCUUUCUUUCUUUUUUUUUUUUGCUGUCCUGAAAGCGUCUUCCCACCUGCGCGCUCUCUGUCCAUCUCUCCUCUCUUUUCGCCCCUCGUCACGAACACCGCGCUAGCGCGAUAGCGAACCCGCGCUCUUCUUCGAGGUUGCACUUCGCACGCUUGGCAGAGAGCCAUCGGCAAAGCCGGAGCAGGCAAAGACGGGUUGGGCUUUCUCAGUACGUUUUUGUUUAUUUUUAUGUUCGACUUGUUUGACAUCGUUUGCUUUUUUUUUGUGUGUGUUGCGUUUCCGUUUUUCAUUUUCUUCCGGCACAUCUCUUCGCGCUUCGCAUUUUCUUUGCUAGUCGCCACGAUCAUCUCUGCUGCUUCUUAUGUGCUCCUCCCUUCGCUCCCCGUUAUAUAUAAUAUAUAUAUAUAUAUAUAUAUUAUAUACACCCACGCCACGAUCAUGAUGAGCGCCUGAAGCAAAUUUGACCCAUCUCCUCAUUUUUCUCUGCUCGCUCGCUCUGUUUGGGGUGUGUAGGGGAGUCGCAUGCCCACGUGAAACCGGCAGUCGUCCUUUACGACGAAGUGUGUUUUGAAUGUGCAUGCUACGCACACAUAAACACGCACAGAAGUUCACAGGCGAUGCACGUCUUCCCUCUCCUUUUUUAGCUCUUUUGGGAGUCGAAUUGAGGGAUGGCACGCCGCACCGACGAGGCUGCGCUAGAUACUUUUCCAAUCGAAACCGACAUGUAAGCAGGCACAAAACGCCACAGUGGCGUCAUCAGAGAGGCGCGCCUCUCUCUUUCUAGAAUGAAAGAUGAUCUGCUUUUCUUGCUCACACUGCAAUAAGACGAGCGACAAAAAAUACAAACGAAAAACACACAGAAAGACAUUGGCGCCAGCGUGUGGAUGCAACAUUACGUGCUUCGAACUGUUGCUGUGCGCACGCACAUUCAUGCAUACACACACACACAUAUAUAUAUAUAUAUAUAUAUAUAUAUAUAUAUCAACAACAGAAAAAAAACGCAAACGUAUGCAGGAUGUGGCGAAUGUGAAGCGCACGCCCACACAGAGAUAAGCCGCUUUUAACGCACAUGCAGAGCACCGCUCGACCUUGACGUUUGAUUUUCUUUUUUUCUUAUAGCGCUAGUUCGCUUGAGUUACUUCUUUUUGCUUGCUCGUUACACCUGUACGGUUAUUUGUUUAUUUUCAUGUGUGUCUCCCUUGCUUUCGUACCCCCGCUUCUUUCUCUGUCAAGCCUCCUCGUUCCCUGGGCUGUCCACUGGUGCGCGUAUGUGUCUUCUUUUUUUUUUAGCUUUUCGAGGCUUCUGUGUGACUACGCCUUCGCCUUUCCAUUUUUUCUUUCUGGGCUAACUCAUACUCGUCUUCACGUUAUCUCGCUCGCUCGUUCACACCCCCUCCCUCCCUCCCUCCUUCCCUUACGGUCUACCCGCUGCUGCUUCUAUGUUUUUUUUUUUACUGCUUUUUCUCUGUUUCGACCACCCCCUUCUCUUCCCAUUUUACCAACACCCACAACCAGCAUAUAUAUAUAUAUCUGUAUAUAUAUAUAUGUAUAAGCGAGAAAGCUAAGCGUCUUCCGUGCGAUCCCAUCCGUUUCUUCUUUCGAAUUCUUUUUUUUUUGGUGGCUUGGUUCAUUAUAAUAUGAGCGAAGUUUUUGUGUUUUGUCUUGUGCGUGCAUGUGCGUGUCUCUCUCUCUUGGGGGUUUCUUUCGUUGCUGCUCUCGGUUGUUUUUCUUCGCUCUUCAACUGCGAAAUGAGCAGCUGCUUUGAGCCGCUGUGCGCAUGCGCGCUCUCUACAUUUCGCACUUAGAUUCCUUCUUUUUCUUUUUUCUUGGCUUCCGUGCGUGUGUACCUUUUUUUUUGUGUGUAUUCGUCGUUUUGCUUUUUUCCUGUUUUGCUGUUCUCUUCUGUGAGAGCCUCCCCUCGUGGCCUCCCCCACAUCUCACCUUUGCGUGUGCGUGUGUAUCUCCCUCUCUCCGCUUUUAUUGAUCUCCGUCUCAUGCGGUGCGUUCUUUUUUUUUCUGCUUUUCAGCAUCUCUCUCCUCCCCCCUUUGCCCUCCGCCCUUCCGCUAUCGGCGAAGAAGUCUCACCGUCGUCUCCAUGUCUCCUUCGCAUCCUGCCCACCCCCUCAUGCAUAAGACACUGCGAGAUGGCAUACAGCGGUGACGGUUUGCCUUCCUCAUAUAUAUACACAUACGCAAGACACACACACACACAUACACACAGAAGCAGACGCUCAGGCGGUUGGAAGAACGUCCAGCAGAAUUGUGUGCCUGCUUGCAUCACUUUCGUUUCGCUGUGCUCCCCCCUUUGCUGAUCUCUUCUUCCGUUUUUUUUUUAUGUGCUUUCCCCUUGCUUCGCUUCGACCGCCCACCCACCACCCGCUGCGCGCUUUUUUUGUUUGUGCGGCUAUCCAUCAUCUUCGCACUCCGUUUAUCGCUCUCUGUCUUUCUCUCUCUCCUUCACCUUUCUCUGCGCUUACUCUACCGCCAAGAUGCCAGUGCGGCGAGGGCGCAUCCACCGCUUCUCCCUAGUGCGUGUGUGCUUGCGUAUCUUGGUAUGCCCUUCUCUCUCUGUGCGUGCGUUGGCUUUUUCCCCUUCGCCUGAAAAAGCCUCGAGAGGGCGAUAGUGGAAUCACAGGCAGCCGCGGCCGCUAGACGUAUCUCUGGUCCUGAUACGGAAGCGGGAACUUCUCGGGCUUUGGGCGCUGAUGCGGGUGUGAACGUGAAGCACUGAAACGAAAGAACGUAAAAAAAAAACGACUCGAAAUCGUCUCAGGAGGUGGGGUAUUGCCUCGCAUCACAUACCUCUGGCCACCGAACCCGGAUAGCGAUACAUAUAUAUAUAUAUAUAUAUAUAGAAGAUAGAAACAACAAAAAAAACGUUGUAGCGGGUUGCGUGCAAGGGCGUAUGCAGGCACCUCGCGCUGGCACACGCAUGGAGAACAGAACGAGGAAGUCAGCGUCACGUUCAAACUCGAAUACAGAGUCCAUGUGAAACAAAACGUACACGAUACAAACUAACAUCCUGCGGUGUUUGCGGCAUCAGCAGCACCCCUCCCCCUCCCUCCCCCGCUUUAUUAUUUGCCUUUCGACGUUGAUUCACCACUCUCCCCACCCUCGCUUUUUCUUUGUUUUGCUCAGUGUGCUCUUAGGCCCGAUUACGUGCACUAUAUUGCAUUCCCGCUUCCUCUUUUUGUCUCUGCGUCUUUUUCUUCUACGUUCCGCUUUUUGUUUUUGUGUGUGUGUGUGUGAUCCCUCUCCCGCUAUGCCCGUUUCUAUUUUUCUCGCAAGUGCUCUCUUCUGCACCCCACCACCCCACUUCUCUCUUGCAGCGCCAUCACGUUCGGAUACACGUACGCGUUCCUGUUUUAUCUGCUUCAUUCCUCUCUUCUUCUUGUUCUCCGUGGGCGAAGUUCGCCUAGACAGCCAGCCGCACGGCGACACAUACGUGACCCACACAUGACGUAAAGAAAAAAAGCCACGCGAGUGCUUCAACAAGAGGACGCUUUCUUUCUUCUGUUCCCCCUUCUUUUUUCCCUCCCACUUUCUCGAAGAGGUUUGAGGUGCGAGCAUUGGUGCUGUGCUGCAGCACCAACUGCUGCGCUUGACAUGGUGCUGAUGCAGGCGAGAGGCAUCAGCGGCAGAAGGUGCCUCCGAUCACCUCGAACCUUUUAUUUUGCUGCAUUAUCUGCAUGUUUGCGUCAUACACGAACCUUACUGUGUCGUCGGCAUCUCGGCAUCUCCCCUUUCCAUUGUUACCUGCUAUAAGCCGCUUACGUUAGGUGCGGUUGCAUAUCAUCCGCUGAACAGGGCAGGCGGGGAAGGGGGAAGGGGCUGAGGCUGCCAUCCUCGACAUUGUCUUCGCCAACACCUAUGUGCUCUUCUUCCUCCUCUGCUUUUUCGUCUCCUUCGCUUUCUUUUUUUUUGUUUGUAUGGAGCUUCCUAAGUCGUACAGCGCUGUCGCCUCCUGCUUCUCGUUUUUUUUUUCUAUCUCCCUCCUCCUCUCCUCUCUCUGCUACUUCGCUCCUUUUACUUCAUCAUUCCAAGGUCAAACCUUCUUUGUUGUUGUGUUUUCGUGUUUUUUUUUUCUGUGUUGAUGGCUCUCUCCUGCUUUUUUUUUGUGUUUUCGUCACGCGCUUUCUACUUUUUUGUCGUGUGCCGGAGUGCUGUGUGCUGCUGUCGAUGUCUCCUUCCUCCCUCUCUAUGUGUAUGUGUAUGUGUGUGCGUGUGCGUGUUGGUGUGGGAGGUGAUCUGGCAGACUCGCACGCACAUUCCUUUUUUUUUUUCGCCACGUGCAUCUCUCUUUCUCUCCUUCUUCUCUCCCCCUUCCCCCGCUCUGUGGUGACUCUUCUCGUAGAGGGCAUAAGGCCUGUUACUGGCGCCGUUGAGAAAGAUGCGCUUAUGCGACACUCAUGCGCACCUCUCCCCCUCCCUCCCUCCCACACACGCACAUACACAUGCGUGUGUGUGUGUGUGCCACGCAUAGGAGCGUGACUGAGGGAGAGGUGCCGCGAGCCAGUGCCUGAAAGGAAGACCAUAUGAUCGGAGGAUUGCACACCUGAAAACAACAAUACAGAAAAAAAAAAGAGAGAAAACAAGCGCGCUCGCGACUGAUCUGUGCUUGUGUGUAUGUGUGUGGGUGUGAGCGCUGCUGCGUGUGCCUGUGCACCGUGCACUUGUGCUCAUAGGGUCGUGGCAUCCGGUCUCUCUCACCCCGAUGGUUUCAACCCAUCUGCUGGGGGAGGGUCAGGGUUGGUGCCGACCCACCCUUCGCCUUUUUCGCCUUUACAUGUGUGUGGGUGCGUGUGUUGUCGGUGUUUUGCUGCUGCCGCUGCUUCAUCCAUCGAUACCCAGUAGUCCAGGCCAUGCUCUCCGCGUUAUCGGACCUUGCGCAUACACAUAUACACUCAAGUCCUCCUUCCCAGCAGAAAAGCAACAGGAAGAGUCACGAAAAAAAAAAAACAAAAAGAAAAGACCCUCCACGGAGUCCAUCAUGCACUCACACCUCUGCCUUCGCGUGACUAACGGUGGC